Molecule: ribosomal RNA, 432 nt
Filed under: uncultured bacterium
Lineage: Bacteria
Description: partial 16S ribosomal RNA
Rfam family: Bacterial small subunit ribosomal RNA
Source: RNAcentral
AACGAACGCUGGCGGCAUGCCUAACACAUGCAAGUCGAACGAGACCUUCGGGUCUAGUGGCGCACGGGUGCGUAACGCGUGGGAACCUGCCCUUAGGUUCGGAAUAACUCCCCGAAAGGGGUGCUAAUACCGGAUAAUGUCUUCGGACCAAAGAUUUAUCGCCUUUGGAUGGGCCCGCGUUGGAUUAGCUAGUUGGUAGGGUAAAAGCCUACCAAGGCGACGAUCCAUAGCUGGUCUGAGAGGAUGAUCAGCCACACUGGGACUGAGACACGGCCCAGACCCCUACGGGGGGCAGGAGGGGGGAAUAUGGGACAAGGGGCAAAAGCCUGAUCCAGCAAGGCCGGGGGAGGGAAGAAGGCCUUGGGGUUGAAAAGCUCUUUUACCCGGGAUGAUAAUGACAGGCCCGGGAGAAUAAGCCCCGGCUAACUCCGG